AUUGAACGCUGGCGGCAGGCCUAACACAUGCAAGUCGAGCGGAUGAAGGGAGCUUGCUCCUGGAUUCAGCGGCGGACGGGUGAGUAAUGCCUAGGAAUCUGCCUGGUAGUGGGGGAUAACGUCCGGAAACGGGCGCUAAUACCGCAUACGUCCUGAGGGAGAAAGUGGGGGAUCUUCGGACCUCACGCUAUCAGAUGAGCCUAGGUCGGAUUAGCUAGUUGGUGGGGUAAAGGCCUACCAAGGCGACGAUCCGUAACUGGUCUGAGAGGAUGAUCAGUCACACUGGAACUGAGACACGGUCCCGACUCCUACGGGAGGCAGCAGUGGGGAAUAUUGGACAAUGGGCGAAAGCCUGAUCCAGCCAUGCCGCGUGUGUGAAGAAGGUCUUCGGAUUGUAAAGCACCUUAAGUUGGGAGGAAGGGCAGUAAGUUAAUACCUUGCUGUUUUGACGUUACCAACAGAAUAAGCACCGGCUAACUUCGUG
RNAcentral lists this ribosomal RNA (484 nucleotides) under uncultured bacterium. Its description in RNAcentral is "partial 16S ribosomal RNA". It matches the Rfam family "Bacterial small subunit ribosomal RNA", at positions 30 to 507 of the family's 1533-position model. The record is from RNAcentral.